This 442-nucleotide ribosomal RNA is filed under the name uncultured bacterium. RNAcentral describes it as "partial 16S ribosomal RNA". It matches the Rfam family "Bacterial small subunit ribosomal RNA", at positions 338 to 795 of the family's 1533-position model. The record is from RNAcentral.
CCUACGGGAGGCAGCAGUAGGGAAUCUUUCACAAUGGGCGAAAGCCUGAUGGAGCAACGCCGCGUGCAGGAUGAAGGCCUUCGGGUUGUAAACUGCUUUUAUAAGCGAGAAAGAUGAUGGUAACUUAUGAAUAAGGAUCGGCUAACUACGUGCCAGCAGCCGCGGUCAUACGUAGGAUCCGAGCAUUAUCCGGAGUGACUGGGUGUAAAGAGUUGCGUAGGUGGCAUAAUAAGUAGCUAGUGAAAUCUGGUGGCGCAACCAUUCAGACUAUUAGCUAAACUGUUAAGCUCGAGACCGUUAGGGGUAACUGGAAUUUCUAGUGUAGGAGUGAAAUCCGUAGAUAUUAGAAGGAACACCAAUAGCGUAGGCAGGUUGCUGGGACGGUUCUGACACUAAGGCACGAAAGCGUAGGGAGCAAACGGGAUUAGAUACCCCUGUAGUC